RNAcentral lists this transfer RNA (73 nucleotides) under Mycobacterium phage MrMagoo. RNAcentral describes it as "tRNA-Cys". It matches the Rfam family "tRNA". From Rfam's summary of the family: Transfer RNA (tRNA) molecules are approximately 80 nucleotides in length. The record is from RNAcentral. Lineage: Duplodnaviria; Heunggongvirae; Uroviricota; Caudoviricetes; Vilmaviridae. RNAcentral also lists the same sequence under 1 other name.
GUCGAGAUGACUGAGUGGAUAAGUAGCGGCCUGCAAAGCUGACUUACGCCGGUUCGAAUCCGGCUCUCGAUUC